RNAcentral lists this small nuclear RNA (107 nucleotides) under Camelus dromedarius (Arabian camel). Lineage: Eukaryota; Metazoa; Chordata; Mammalia; Artiodactyla; Camelidae. The record is from RNAcentral.
GUGCUCGCUUCAGCAGCACAUAUACUAAAAUUGGAACGAUACAGAAAAGAUUAGCAUGGCCCCUGCACAAGGAUGACACGCAAAUUCGUGAAGCGUUACAUAUUUUU